This 393-nucleotide ribosomal RNA is filed under the name uncultured bacterium. RNAcentral describes it as "partial 16S ribosomal RNA". It matches the Rfam family "Bacterial small subunit ribosomal RNA", at positions 523 to 918 of the family's 1533-position model. The record is from RNAcentral.
AUACGGAGGAUGCGAGCGUUAUCCGGAUUUAUUGGGUUUAAAGGGAGCGUAGGCGGACGCUUAAGUCAGUUGUGAAAGUUUGCGGCUCAACCGUAAAAUUGCAGUUGAUACUGGGUGUCUUGAGUACAGUAGAGGCAGGGGGGAUUCGUGGUGUUGCGGGGGAAUGCUUAGAUAUCACGAAGAACUCCGAUUGCGAAGGCAGCCUGCUGGACUGUAACUGACGCUGAUGCUCGAAAGUGUGGGUAUCAAACAGGAUUAGAUACCCUGGUAGUCCACACAGUAAACGAUGAAUACUCGCUGUUUGCGAUAUACAGUAAGCGGCCAAGCGAAAGCGUUAAGUAUUCCACCUGGGGAGUACGCCGGCAACGGUGAAACUUAAAGGAAUUGGCGGGG